This 211-nucleotide unclassified non-coding RNA is filed under the name Hevea brasiliensis (rubber tree). The record is from RNAcentral. Lineage: Eukaryota; Viridiplantae; Streptophyta; Magnoliopsida; Malpighiales; Euphorbiaceae.
ACAAGGACUUGAAGAACCUUCAAGGCUGAAACCCAAGGAAGAUAAAAGAAGGAGAAAGGAAAAACAAGGACACAACAAAAUGGAUGACCAACUUGUUUUGAAUAGAGCCUAAGUUCUGAUACCAAAUGAUACAGUUUCUACACUUAGUAGCUGAUUCCACUAAGAAAAAGACCAAAGGACCGUCUUUAAAACAAGCCAAGAAACUCCCUUG